GUCCUGGCAAUAUCACAAGAACCAUUACUGAUGAAUGGUGAAAGUGAAAAUCGUCAAUAUCAAAUUUGACCUCCAUUUUGUCAUCAGUAUCAACAUAUUAAAAUUUGAAAAGCUUAGAUUGAAUGGUUCAUGAGCAAAUGCAACAACGUGAAUGGAAAGGCCAUUUUACAAUCUUUCAAGAACCAUAACGCCUGAACGGUAAAAGUCAAAAUCGUCAUUAUUGAACUUGACCUCUAUUUUGUCAUCAGUAACAACAUAUAAAAAUUUCAAAAGCUUUGGUUGAAUGGUUCAUGAGAAAAUGCACGGACACGACUGGAAACACCAUUUUUCAAUCUUUCAAGAACCAUAACUCCUGAACGGUGAAAGUCAAAAUCGUCAUUAUUAACUUGACCUCUAUUUUGUCAUCAGUCACAACAUAUUAAAAUUUGGGAAGCUUUGGUAGAACAGUUAAUGCGUAAAUGCACGGACACAACUGGAAACUCCAUUUUUCAAUCUUUCAAGAACCAUAACUCCUGAACGGUAAAGGUCAAAAUCGUCAUUAUUGAACUUGACCUCCAUUUUGUCAUCAGUAACAACAUAUUAAAAUUUGGGAAGCUUUGGUAGAACAGUUCAUGCGUAAAUGCACGGACACGACUGAAAACUCUAUUUUUCAAUCUUUCAAGAACCAUAACUCCUGAACGGUAAAAGUCAAAAUCGUCAUUAUUGAACUUGACCUUCAUUUAGUUGUCAGUAACAACAUAUUAAAAUUUUAAAAGCUUUGGCUGAACGGUUCAUGAAUUAAUGCACGGACAACAUUUGAUUGCCGC
This 806-nucleotide long non-coding RNA is filed under the name Mytilus galloprovincialis (Mediterranean mussel). Lineage: Eukaryota; Metazoa; Mollusca; Bivalvia; Mytilida; Mytilidae. The record is from RNAcentral.